Molecule: ribosomal RNA, 482 nt
Filed under: uncultured bacterium
Lineage: Bacteria
Description: partial 16S ribosomal RNA
Rfam family: Bacterial small subunit ribosomal RNA
Source: RNAcentral
AUUGAACGCUGGCGGCAGGCCUAACACAUGCAAGUCGAGCGGAUGAAGGGAGCUUGCUCCUGGAUUCAGCGGCGGACGGGUGAGUAAUGCCUAGGAAUCUGCCUGGUAGUGGGGGAUAACGUCCGGAAACGGGCGCUAAUACCGCAUACGUCCUGAGGGAGAAAGUGGGGGAUCUUCGGACCUCACGCUAUCAGAUGAGCCUAGGUCGGAUUAGCUAGUUGGUGGGGUAAAGGCCUACCAAGGCGACGAUCCGUAACUGGUCUGAGAGGAUGAUCAGUCACACUGGAACUGAGACACGGUCCAGACUCCUACGGGAGGCAGCAGUGGGGAAUAAUGGACAAUGGGCGAAAGCCUGAUCCAGCCAUGCCGCGUGUGUGAAGAAGGUCUUCGGAUUGUAAAGCACUUUAAGUUGGGAGGAAGGGCAGUAAGUUAAUACCUUGCUGUUUUGACGUUACCAACAGAAUAAGCACCGGCUAACUUCG